Molecule: unclassified non-coding RNA, 498 nt
Filed under: Hevea brasiliensis (rubber tree)
Lineage: Eukaryota; Viridiplantae; Streptophyta; Magnoliopsida; Malpighiales; Euphorbiaceae
Source: RNAcentral
AUUCGGUGGAAACCAAAUUAUAUUAUUAGUGGGAUUCAUUAUCCAACUUUAAGUUGGACAGUGUUGGCCUAUAAAUAGGCAUGUGAUGGCCAAUGUUAAGAUGUGUAGAUUGUGGCACAUUCCAUUAAGAAGAGCAAGCGAGUUACUAGGAGAAGACCAUGAAAAUUUGAGUUGAAUGCACCAUGAGUUGUUCUAUUUUUAAAGAGAUUUGAGUGCUUGAUUUGUGAGUGUUUGAGGGUUAGAAAAAUAAUUAGUGGUUGUAAUAAUUUUUCCUUUAACAGUGAAUUUGUUAGUAGAGUAAGCUUACGUUGAACCACGUUAAAUUGUGUUCUUUAAUUUUUUAUGGGUGUGAAUUUUCCCAACAAGUGGUAUCAGAGCUAUGGUUCCAGAUGGCAAAGAUGGCAAGCACAAAAUUUGAUGUGGAAUCAUUUAAUGUAAAAAAUAAUUUCAGUUUAUACUAAAGUACUGUGAAGAAUGUCCUUGUGCAACAAGGAUUAA